Molecule: ribosomal RNA, 407 nt
Filed under: bacterium enrichment culture clone ALO1_GLFRUDD03FXMZZ
Lineage: Bacteria
Description: bacterial SSU rRNA
Rfam family: Bacterial small subunit ribosomal RNA
Source: RNAcentral
GAGUUUGAUCGUAGCUCAGAUUGAACGCUGGCGGCAUGCCUUACACAUGCAAGUCGAACGGCAGCACGGGAGCUUGCUCCUGGUGGCGAGUGGCGAACGGGUGAGUAAUGCAUCGGAACGUAUCCUGGAGUGGGGGAUAACGUAGCGAAAGUUACGCUAAUACCGCAUAUUCUGUGAGCAGGAAAGCGGGGGACCUUCGGGCCUCGCGCUCUUGGAGCGGCCGAUGUCGGAUUAGCUAGUUGGUGAGGUAAAGGCUCACCAAGGCGACGAUCCGUAGCAGGUCUGAGAGGAUGAUCUGCCACACUGGAACUGAGACACGGUCCAGACUCCUACGGGAGGCAGCAGUGGGGAAUUUUGGACAAUGGGGGCAACCCUGAUCCAGCCAUGCCGCGUGAGUGAAGAAGGCC